AUCUGGGCGGCGGAAUUCAGGGUGGCUGGGCGGGUCUCGCGCUCGUUCGGCCGUCUGAUAUUUCCGUCGCCGUUGCAGACGUCGCGACCUGUUCGUCGUCGGUCCUUGCUCGGAGGAAUCGCGAUCGAGUUCGUUGCGGGGCGCGUUUCGGCGUGUCUCGCGAUGAAGACGCGGCUCUCUGGCUGACGACGGACAGUAAGCAACGGUGGCCGGCGCGGUGUCUCGCACUCCGCGUCCGGUGCCGGUCAGCGACGAUUUCUUCGGGCCUCUUUCCGACCCGUCUUGAAACACGGACCAAGGAGUCUAACAUGCGCGCGAGUCGCGGGGUUUCGAGCGUGCCACGGUGCGCUCGUUACUUCCGAAACCCGUACGUUGAAGGCGUAAUGAAAGUGAACAGGGAAGAUGGCGUUCCGAGUCCACGAACCGUGAUCGAGUAUCGCGGCCGGGCGCCCGCACUCCCGGGGCGUCUUAAAGGCUCGUCGCGGAUGCGGACGGUCGUUCUUCGGGGCGGCCGUCGGUCUGCGACGGACCGA
RNAcentral lists this ribosomal RNA (533 nucleotides) under Diaspis coccois. RNAcentral's name for it is "partial 28S ribosomal RNA". Lineage: Eukaryota; Metazoa; Arthropoda; Insecta; Hemiptera; Diaspididae. The record is from RNAcentral.